CUGCCCACUGAUAAAAAUUAAAGGGCCGCAGUAUUUUGACUGUGCGAAGGUAGCAUAAUCACUAGUCUUUUAAUUGGAGGCUUGUAUGAAUGGUUGAAUGAGAUAUAUACUGUCUUUUUUAAAAUUAUAUAGAAUUUUAUUUUUUAAUUAAAAAGUUAAAAUAAAAUUAAAGGACGAGAAGACCCUAUAGAUCUUUAUUUUUGUUAUUUAUAAAUUAAAAAGAAUUUUAAAAUUUAUAAUUUAAUAAAAAAUUUUAUUGGGGUGAUAUUAAAAUUUAAAAAACUUUUAAAAUUUAUUAACAUAAAUAUAUGAAUAAAUGAUCCAGUUUUAUUGAUUAAAAAAUUAAGUUACCUUAGGGAUA
Molecule: ribosomal RNA, 361 nt
Filed under: Culex quinquefasciatus (southern house mosquito)
Lineage: Eukaryota; Metazoa; Arthropoda; Insecta; Diptera; Culicidae
Description: partial 16S ribosomal RNA
Rfam family: Archaeal large subunit ribosomal RNA (bases 1-114)
Source: RNAcentral